Molecule: ribosomal RNA, 505 nt
Filed under: uncultured bacterium
Lineage: Bacteria
Description: bacterial SSU rRNA
Rfam family: Bacterial small subunit ribosomal RNA
Source: RNAcentral
UUAUGGCUCAGGAUGAACGCUGGCGGCGUGCCUAACACAUGCAAGUCGAACGGGCCCCAGCGGCGGAACCCCCUCGGGGGCGAGGCUGCGAAGGGCCAGUGGCGGACGGGUGAGUAACGCGUGGGCAAUCUGCCCCACACCGGGGGACAACAGGGGGAAACCCCUGCUAAUACCGCAUAAGCGCACGGCAUGGCAUCAUGCAGUGUGAAAAAGCUCCGGCGGUGUGGGAUGAGCCCGCGUCCGAUUAGCUUGUUGGCGGUGCAGCGGACCACCAAGGCGACGAUCGGUAGCCGGCCUGAGAGGGCGGACGGCCACAUUGGGACUGAGACACGGCCCAGACUCCUGCGGGAGGCAGCAGUGGGGGAUAUUGCACAGUGGGGGGAACCCUGAAUGCAGCGACGCCGCGUGGGUGAAGGAGCAUUUCGGUGCGUAAAGCCCUAUCGACAGGGACGAUAAUGACGGUACCUGGGUAAGAAGCCCCGGCUAACUACGUGCCAGCCGCUGC